UUUAAAAUGAUUUCUGGGAUAUGUCUCUUUUAGAAUGCAGUACACACAUCUUGAGCUUGUUUGCCAUAUUUGAUGUGCUCCAUGUAUGUGUGAUGAUCAAUGUUUAUAUGUGAAUAAUAGCCUAAAUUAAAUCUGUUCAUCAUAUGCUGCAUUUACAUUACAUAGUUCAAGUAAUCCAAUUCAGAUUAUUUUUCCCACGUGGGAUAGAUCGGAUAUAACCCACAAAGAACAUGGGAAAAGCACAUUGAUUCCGAUAUUCUCAGAUCAGUUUCAGGUCUCAUUCAUAAGUGGAAAUAAAUCUUAUAUGAAUCAGAUAUGUGCAUUUUUGUCUGCCAUAUAAGCAGACAGAUUGGAUAUUCCCCUGUCAGUGCCUCAGAAAAAAAGUGACUCAGGUGGAUGCUUUUCUGGGCAGUUUUGACAAAUAUGAGGUUUUC
This is a long non-coding RNA of Carassius auratus (goldfish), 434 nucleotides long. RefSeq lists it as uncharacterized. NCBI's taxonomy places the organism in Eukaryota, Metazoa, Chordata, Actinopteri, Cypriniformes, Cyprinidae. The transcript has 3 exons. The record is from RefSeq and is a predicted model, not a curated record.